GCUAGCAUGCGCGCCGUUGGUGCUUUGGCCGGGCGUCGUUCCGGCUGGGGUUAAACGGGAAUCAGGAGGGUGCGCGCUGGCACGGCGCGAUCCCAACCUGAGCUGCCCCCGCAACGGUAAGCGGACGGUGCUUUCGCCUCACUUCAGGCGUUGCACCCGCUCCUGUGACUGCACGCCACUGCCGGUGUUCACACACUGGUGGGAAGGCCACAGGGGUUGCCUCCGCCAGCCCGGAUACCGGCCAACCGGAGGCGCGUCAG
RNAcentral lists this non-coding RNA (260 nucleotides) under Burkholderiales bacterium JOSHI_001. Lineage: Bacteria; Pseudomonadati; Pseudomonadota; Betaproteobacteria; Burkholderiales. The record is from RNAcentral. RNAcentral also lists the same sequence under 1 other name.